Molecule: ribosomal RNA, 244 nt
Filed under: uncultured bacterium
Lineage: Bacteria
Description: partial 16S ribosomal RNA
Rfam family: Bacterial small subunit ribosomal RNA
Source: RNAcentral
CCGGACCGGCGCACGGUGAGUAACGCGUAUGCAACUUACCUAUCAGAGGGGGAUAACCCGGCGAAAGUCGGACUAAUACCGCAUGAAGCAGGGGCCCCGCAUGGGGAUAUUUGCUAAAGAUUCAUCGCUGAUAGAUAGGCAUGCGUUCCAUUAGGCAGUUGGCGGGGUAACGGCCCACCAAACCGACGAUGGAUAGGGGUUCUGAGAGGAAGGUCCCCCACAUUGGAACUGAGACACGGUCCAA